UACGGAGGGUGCAAGCGUUAUCCGGAUUCACUGGGUUUAAAGGGUGCGUAGGUGGGAAGGUAAGUCAGUGGUGAAAUCCCCCGAGCUUAACUUGGGAACUGCCAUUGAUACUAUCUUUCUUGAAUACCUUGGAGGUGAGCGGAAUAUGUCAUGUAGCGGUGAAAAUGCUUAGAUAUGACAUAGAACACCAAUUGCGAAGGCAGCUCACUACACGGUCAUUGACACUGAGGCACGAAAGCGUGGGGAUCAAACAGG
Molecule: ribosomal RNA, 255 nt
Filed under: uncultured bacterium
Lineage: Bacteria
Description: partial 16S ribosomal RNA
Rfam family: Bacterial small subunit ribosomal RNA
Source: RNAcentral